Molecule: ribosomal RNA, 470 nt
Filed under: uncultured Anaerolineaceae bacterium
Lineage: Bacteria; Bacillati; Chloroflexota; Anaerolineae; Anaerolineales; Anaerolineaceae
Description: bacterial SSU rRNA
Rfam family: Bacterial small subunit ribosomal RNA
Source: RNAcentral
AAACUUAAAUGAAUUGACGGGGACCCGCACAAGCAGCGGAGCGUGUGGUUUAAUUCGUUGCUACACGAAGAACCUUACCUGGGUUUGACAUAUAGGUUGUAGGGAACUGAAAGGGACCGACCCUUCGGGGAGCCUAUACAGGUGUUGCAUGGCUGUCGUCAGCUCGUGUCGUGAGAUGUUCGGUUAAGUCCGCUAACGAGCGCAACCCUCGUCGUAUGUUAUAUGUGUCAUACGAGACUGCCGGUAAAAGCCGGAGGAAGGUGAGGAUGAUGUCAAGUCAGCAUGACCUUUAUAUCCAGGGCUACACACACGCUACAAUGGUCUGUACAAUGGGUAGCCAAGCCGCGAGGCGGAGCCAAUCCUGAAAGCAGGCCUCAGCUCAGAUUGCAGUCUGCAACUCGACUGCAUGAAGCCGGAGUUGCUAGUAACCGCAGGUCAGCAAUACUGCGGUGAAUACGUUCCCGGGUCUU